AUACCAGUUGGAAACGACUGUUAAUACCGCAUAAUGUCUACGGACCAAAGUGUGGGACCUUCGGGCCACAUGCUAUCGGAUGCGCCUACGUGGGAUUAGCUAGUUGGUGAGGUAAUGGCUCACCAAGGCGACAAUCCCUAGCUGGUUUGAGGGGAUGAUCAGCCACACUGGAACUGAGACACGGUCCAGACUCCUACGGGAGGCAGCAGUGGGGAAUAUUGGACAAUGGGCGCAAGCCUGAUCCAGCCAUGCCGCGUGUGUGAAGAAGGCCUUCGGGUUGUAAAGCACUUUCAGUUGGGAGGAAGGGUUGCGUGUUAAUAGUACACAGCCUUGACGUUACCAACAGAAGAAGCACCGGCUAACUCUGUGCCAGCAGCCGCGGUAAUACAGAGGGUGCAAGCGUUAAUCGGAAUUACUGGGCGUAAAGCGCACGUAGGCGGUUUUUUAAGUCAGAUGUGAAAGCCCCGGGCUCAACCUGGGAAUUGCAUUUGAAACUGGAAAACUAGAGUGUGUGAGAGGGGGGUAGAAUUCCAAGUGUAGCGGUGAAAUGCGUAGAGAUNUUGGAGGAAUACCAGNUGGCGAAGGCGGCCCCCUGGCACAACACUGACGCUCAGGUGCGAAAGCGUGGGGAGCAAACAGGAUUAGAUACCCUGGUAGUCCACGCCGUAAACGAUGUCUACUAGCUGUUCGUGACCUUGUGUCGUGAGUAGCGCAGCUAACGCACUAAGUAGACCGCCUGGGGAGUANCGNGUCGCAAGAUUAAAACUCAAAUGAAUUGACGGGGGCCCGCACAAGCGGUGGAGCAUGUGGUUUAAUUCGACGCAACGCGAAGAACCUUACCUACUCUUGACAUCCAGAGAAGACUGCAGAGAUGCGGUUGUGCCUUCGGGAACUCUGAGACAGGUGCUGCAUGGCUGUCGUCAGCUCGUGUUGUGAAAUGUUGGGUUAAGUCCCGCAACGAGCGCAACCCUUAUCCUUAGUUGCCAGCACGUAAUGGUGGGAACUCUAGGGAGACUGCCGGUGAUAAACCGGAGGAAGGUGGGGACGACGUCAAGUCAUCAUGGCCCUUACGAGUAGGGCUACACACGUGCUACAAUGGUAUGUACAGAGGGAGGCAAGCUGGCGACAGUGAGCGGAUCUCUUAAAGCAUAUCGUAGUCCGGAUCGCAGUCUGCAACUCGACUGCGUGAAGUCGGAAUCGCUAGUAAUCGCAAAUCAGAAUGUUGCGGUGAAU
Molecule: ribosomal RNA, 1233 nt
Filed under: uncultured Rheinheimera sp.
Lineage: Bacteria; Pseudomonadati; Pseudomonadota; Gammaproteobacteria; Chromatiales; Chromatiaceae
Description: bacterial SSU rRNA
Rfam family: Bacterial small subunit ribosomal RNA
Source: RNAcentral